RNAcentral lists this long non-coding RNA (1546 nucleotides) under Olea europaea subsp. europaea. Lineage: Eukaryota; Viridiplantae; Streptophyta; Magnoliopsida; Lamiales; Oleaceae. The record is from RNAcentral.
AUAANUACAUGCAUCUCAAGUAAAGCAUAAAAGAGAAGCUGCAGAGAGCAUCCAAUUAUUACUAGAUAACUGCUGUUCAAGAAUGAAAGACUCCUACAAAUGGUCAUUUGCCCUUUGACACUAUUUGUCAGUCUUCUGCAAAAGCUUCUCAAAGAUGAUAUCAUUGAUAGAAAACAAUGUUGAAAAGAUAGGUAGCAGAGUUUAGAAUCUGAUAGUAGAGAGCAAGAUAACAAGUACGCCAAAUAUAAUCAUCUCUCUUUCCUCAAAUAUGCUUUGCCAGCAACAAUAUUACAUGGCUAUGGAUAUAUCAAGCAUGGUGACACCUAAACAUCCUGAGAGAGGAGAUUAACACUAUAUCUGACAACUCCCAGGACAAAAGGGGACAUGGUGACUCCAAACAACAAAAUAAACACAAUGCAAUAAUAUGCUGAAAUGUUCUUGAAGAUGUUUUUAAGGAUGCUACCACUUGUAAGUAUCGCCUUUAUUCAACAUUCAUACAUAUUUAAAAUUUCUAUAUGUUGAGGUCUUCAAAUUUUGGGGACUCAAAAUUCUUCCAUCACAAUAUUCCAUAACAAUUAAGUGUUUGUGCAAUGAGAGAAAAAUCGGCCAUGUUCGACAAUCAGAAUGACUUUAAAAUAACCAUCACAUUUUUCAGUUGACAAGCUGCUCUAUGACAUGCAAAUCCACACUUAUAUUUGAUUACAUCAAUACAUAUAUCACCAGAAUACCCGAACAAAAAACAAAAUUUGUUAAUUCCAAAUUCUUGUAUCCACAAGAAGCACCUAUUUGUGCAGUAAAACAAAAUCAAGUCUUGUUCAACAAUCAGAGAGCCUUGGAUACAAAAUUGUAACUUGGCUCCAAAACUAUGGACGGCAUCCCAUUACUCCAUCGUUUAUAGACUAUAAAGUUAAGUCCAUACACAUAAAAAUCAUCCUAACGUGUCAUGGUAAAGAAAAAAUACAACUUCACAAGUACGGAACUCACACUAUCACCGUCACACAAAUAAAAAUGAAGAUGUCAAACCAAAAAUGAAAUCGAAUAUUUUGAGAACUCAAAAAAGGGUUUUACAGAACCCAUGUCUAAAAAAAGGCUUACAGUUUAAAAAAAAUAAAAAAUAAAUCCCAACAUCGAGAACAGAUCAAGAAAUGUAAAGUUAGACACAGAUAUAGGAAAGUUAAAAAGCUGAAUUCUUCAGAAAUCUUGAAAUCUCGCUCUAUGUACAACCAUGUGCACAUGUAAAAACUUACAUAUAUACCCAUAUAUAAUACCAGUGAAAGAGAGAGAAUUUACGGAACGAGAUCUGAAGAAAUGAUUAUCAACAAAACGUCGAUUCGUCCGAUGAUUUCUGAAUUAAUUCUAUACAUUUGCAAAAAAAUUUGUUGCCGAGAUUUUGUUCAUGUCGAGACGGGAUAUUGGUAAUGAGGGGGAGAGGGUAUGAAAACAAUUAAUACGUAUGUUAAAUUGGUAAAGACGAGGGAGGGGAUAUAUUGGUAAAAUGAUUCAUUGGUACGUUAAAUUUAGCACGACUGAUCUCAGAACAACAACA